GCCUCUUUUUUUUAAACUGUGAUUUUAUAGUCAUAAAGAGUGGCCUCAGAAUACUUUUCCCAGCAUAUAUCUUUUAGAGACUUAUAAUUCACAAGGAAUAUCUCCUGAGGAUUGGAAUUAAGAUCACUUAGUAAUACAACCAGAUGACCAGUCCUGCUCCAGAAGACUUUCACUUUGGUUCAUCCUAUAAGCAUGCAACAAUGGCAUGCUUAUUGUGCUUCCAUCAUGUGCUUAUGGGGAUAUCCAGUGUGGUGGAAGGCUGUGCUUCUGUCCUUCACAUGUUCCAGAGCAGUGCUCCAAAGUGAACUCUAAGGAUGCUUAUUACCAAUUAUCCUGAUUGGCAUUUUUGUCAACUUGACACAAGAUAGUGUCAAAUGGGAAGAGGGACCUCAUGUGAGAAAAUGUCCACAUCAGAUUAGGCAGUGGUUCAUUUUCUUGAUUGAUGAUUAUUGUGGGGGUGCCCAGCCCACUGUGGGUGGUGCCACACCUUGAGCAACUGGGCCUGGGGAUUAUGAGAAAGCAGAUUAAAGUAAGCCACAAGCAGUAAGCCAUUCAGCAGCACCACGCUAUGGCUUUUGCAUUGGAUUCUGCCUCCAGAUUUCUGCCUUGAGUUCCUGCUUCAACUUGUCUCAGUGAGAGAGUACAACCUGAGAGAUGUCAGAUGAAAUAAACCCUUUUCUCCCUAAGUUGCUUUUGAUAGUGUGUAUUAUUAAAGCAACAGAAACCCUGAGUGAGACACCAAGUAAAACUGUGGUAUAAGAAUCUUAACCUGUGUCCUGUUGGCACUAACUUUUUACACCAGGGUUUCAGUGACUUGAAGAAAAUAGAGAAAAUAGAGUUCCAAAUGGUGAAAAAUGUUCAGAAGAGAAAACAUGAAUAACUGCUAUAGAAACACACACACACACACACACACACACACACACACACACACACACACACACACACACACACUGCGUUCCCCGCUGUGACAUUCGUAGUAUCAAGAGAAGCACAAUUUAGGAAGGACAGUCGGUCACCAGCCUGGGAAGAACACAGCCUGAAGAAAGCAUAUUAGAGAAUUGUAUCUAGUAGAAUCUGCCCAGCUAGGACAACCCCUAACGGCAAAAUUCUUUUCAUUGCUCCCUUAUAACUGUAAUUUUGCUACUGUUAUGAAUCAUAAGGCAAAUAUCUGAUAUGCGGGAUAUCUAAAGUGAGACCUCUGUGAAAGGGUCAUGUGAUCCCCACCUACAGGUUGAGAGCUGCUGAUGUACAUACAGUGUGAUUGGAACCUAGAGUGCACAGGAACCACUAAUGGAAAGCCUCUAAGUUCAGAUAAGCAAUAAUAAAAUUGUGAUUGUGGAGAUUUCUACAAUUUUUUUGACCAACGUGUACUUCAUUGGAACUAUGCUAACUGACCUGAACUAAGCUCCAUUCUCAAGAUGACAGAGCAGGAUGCUUAGAAAGCACCCUUCUUUUUGUCUGUCGGCUGCUGGUGGCAGAAGGCGUCUGCAGUGGGUCUGAUAGUGAUGUGCAGGCCCCAUCUUUGGCUUGAUCUCAGAAAAUAAGGAGCUCAGUCAAGAGGUCUGAGUGAUGGGUACACAGAGCAGAACCCUCGAGUCAGGGGUCUUCUAAAUGCUUGUUUCUAAAGCAGAGCCUUCAUCCAGUGGCUGAAAGAAGCAGAGGCAAACACCCACAACUAAACACUGGAC
Molecule: long non-coding RNA, 1688 nt
Organism: Mesocricetus auratus (golden hamster)
Lineage: Eukaryota; Metazoa; Chordata; Mammalia; Rodentia; Cricetidae
Exons: 3
Source: RefSeq, a predicted model, not a curated record